CAUUGGACUUUGAAUCGGUCUGUGUAGGAUAGGUGGGAGGCUGUGAAACCGGGACGCUAGUUUCGGUGGAGCCAACCUUGAAAUACCACCCUGAUUUAUUUGAGGUUCUAACCUUGAUCCGUGAAUCCGGAUCGGGGACCGUGCAUGGUGGGCAGUUUGACUGGGGCGGUCUCCUCCCAAAAGGUAACGGAGGAGUACGAAGGUACGCUUAGGGCGGUCGGACAUCGCCCAUAAAGUGCAAUGGCAAAAGCGUGCUUGACUGCGAGACCCACAAGUCGAGCAGGUGCGAAAGCAGGUCAUAGUGAUCCGGUGGUUCUGUAUGGAAGGGCCAUCGCUCAACGGAUAAAAGGUACUCUGGGGAUAACAGGCUGAUACCGCCCAAGAGUUCAUAUCGACGGCGGUGUUUGGCACCUCGAUGUCGGCUCAUCUCAUCCUGGGGCUGUAGCCGGUCCCAAGGGUAUGGCUGUUCGCCAUUUAAAGAGGUACGUGAGCUGGGUUUAAAACGUCGUGAGACAGUUUGGUCCCUAUCUGCCGUGGG
Molecule: ribosomal RNA, 538 nt
Filed under: uncultured bacterium
Lineage: Bacteria
Description: bacterial LSU rRNA
Rfam family: Bacterial large subunit ribosomal RNA
Source: RNAcentral